This 30-nucleotide non-coding RNA is filed under the name Mus musculus (house mouse). Lineage: Eukaryota; Metazoa; Chordata; Mammalia; Rodentia; Muridae. The record is from RNAcentral.
UGCCUCCCAAGUGCUGGAAUUAAAGGUGUU